RNAcentral lists this ribosomal RNA (498 nucleotides) under uncultured bacterium. RNAcentral's name for it is "partial 16S ribosomal RNA". It matches the Rfam family "Bacterial small subunit ribosomal RNA", at positions 28 to 523 of the family's 1533-position model. The record is from RNAcentral.
GAUGAACGCUAGCGGCAGGCCUAAUACAUGCAAGUCGGACGGGAUUUGGGAGCUUGCUCCUAAUGAGAGUGGCGCACGGGUGCGUAACACGAAUGUAACCUACCUUAGUCAGGGGGAUAGCCUCUCGAAAGAGAGAUUAAGACCGCAUAACAUUAUUGAGUGGAUUCAUUUAAUAAUCAAAUAUUUAUAGGACUAAGAUGGGCAUGCGGAACAUUAUCUAGUUGGUAGGGUAACGGCCUACCAAGGCUACGAUGUUUAGGGGAUCUGAGAGGAGGGCCACCCACACGAGUACAGAGACACGGACCAGACUCCUACGGGAGGCAGCAGUAAGGAAUAUUGGUCAAUGGGCGGAAGCCUGAACCAGCCAUGCCGCGUGCAGGAAGACGGCCCUACGGGUUGUAAACUGCUUUUAUACGGGAAUAAACCUACUUACGUGUAAGUAGCUGAAUGUACUGUAAGAAUAAGGAUCGGCUAACUCCGUGCCAGCCGCCGCGGUAA